This 44-nucleotide non-coding RNA is filed under the name Schistosoma margrebowiei. Lineage: Eukaryota; Metazoa; Platyhelminthes; Trematoda; Strigeidida; Schistosomatidae. The record is from RNAcentral.
AUGGGAUGAUGAGUCCCAAAUAGGACGGGACGCGCGUCCUGGAU